AAUAGGAGGACUGGACUUACUGCAGGGGGGAAAUAGGAGGACUGGACUUACUUCAGGGAGGAAAUAGGAGGACUGGACUUACUGCAGGGAGGAAAUAGGAGGACUGGACUUACUGCAGGGGGAGAAAUAGGAGGACUGGACUUACUGCAGGGAGGGAAAUAGGAGGACUGGACUUACUGCAGGGGGAGAAAUAGGAGGACUGGACUUACUGCAGGGAGGGAAAUAGGAGGACUGGACUUACUGCAAGGGGAAAUAGGAGGAGGACUGGACUUACUGCAGGUGGGAAAUAGGAGGACUGGACUUACUGCAGGGGGAGAAAUAGGAGGACUGGACUUACUGCAGGGGGGAAAUAGGAGGACUGGACUUACUGCAGGGGGAGAAAUAGGAGGACUGGACUUACUGCAGGGAGGGAAAUAGGAGGACUGGACUUACUGCAGGGGGAGAAAUAGGAGGACUGGACUUACUGCAGGGGGGGAAAUAGGAGGACUGGACUUACUGCAGGGGAGGAAAUAGGAGGACUGGACUUACUGCAGGGGGGAAAUAGGAGGACUGGACUUACUGCAGGGGGGGAAAUAGGAGGACUGGACUUACUGCAGGGGGGGAAAUAGGAGGACUGGACUUACUGCAGGGGGGGAAAUAGGAGGAGGACUGGACUUACUGCAGGGGGGGAAAUAUCUGCUGUACUGGACAGGUGCAGAAACAGGACAGGGGUCCAGUUUCAUUCCAGCCUGUAUGACUGUGUCUGGACUUUGCCAUGGUUGAUCUACAGUUGUUGAAUAAUAUUUCUGGUCAUGAACCUCCUCAGUACCAGUGCUAGGCAGCACUGAGUGCAAAUGGGACUAAAUUACUGGAUGUAAUGGACAUUUUAACAGUUGUUUAAUUUAGUCAAUUAAUGUGUGUAAUUUUGUGCAUACUGGACAUUCGUUUUGACUUAAUGUGUCAAUUAAAAGGGGUUGAAUAAUU
Oncorhynchus masou masou (cherry salmon) is the source of this 963-nucleotide long non-coding RNA. RefSeq lists it as uncharacterized. Lineage: Eukaryota; Metazoa; Chordata; Actinopteri; Salmoniformes; Salmonidae. The record is from RefSeq and is a predicted model, not a curated record. The transcript has 2 exons.